RNAcentral lists this ribosomal RNA (233 nucleotides) under uncultured bacterium. RNAcentral describes it as "partial 16S ribosomal RNA". It matches the Rfam family "Bacterial small subunit ribosomal RNA", at positions 92 to 334 of the family's 1533-position model. The record is from RNAcentral.
CUAGUGGCGGACGGGUGAGUAACACGUGAGAAUUUACCUUUAGGAGGGGGAUAACAAUUGGAAACGAUUGCUAAUACCCCAUAUGCUUUUGAGUGAAAUGGAUUUAUAUUUAUCCGCCUAGAGAGAAGCUCGCGGCUGAUUAGCUUGUUGGUAAGGUAAGAGCUUACCAAGGCGACGAUCAGUAUCUGGUUUGAGAGGACGAUCAGACACACUGGAACUGAGACACGGUCCAG